UCCGGACGGGCGCCUAAUCCCGCCGCCGUGCCGGACGUCCGGUCGACGAGGUGGACCGGCGGGAGCGGAGGACCCGAGCAGGACGGGGCCCCGGCCUACACGGCCGAGGGCUCCUUGGGGUGAAGCCGUACGCACGGCCGGGCAUCUUCGCCUGCCCGAACCCGACAGGUCUUCCUUCGCAGGCGGCUGACGAAGGGUUU
RNAcentral lists this small RNA (200 nucleotides) under Streptomyces sp. Its description in RNAcentral is "c-di-AMP sequence". It matches the Rfam family "c-di-AMP riboswitch aptamer (ydaO/yuaA leader)". Rfam says of the family: This family represents a conserved RNA structure found upstream of the ydaO and yuaA genes in Bacillus subtilis and related genes in other bacteria. The ydaO/yuaA element is thought to act as a genetic "off" switch for the ydaO and yuaA genes in its native state. It is believed that the element may be triggered during osmotic shock leading to activation of ydaO, a predicted amino acid transporter gene, and members of the yuaA-yubG operon which code for KtrA and KtrB K+ transporters. The record is from RNAcentral. Lineage: Bacteria; Bacillati; Actinomycetota; Actinomycetes; Kitasatosporales; Streptomycetaceae.